AGAGCACUCCUACGGGAGGCAGCAGUGGGGAAUAUUGCACAAUGGGCGCAAGCCUGAUGCAGCCAUGCCGCGUGUAUGAAGAAGGCCUUCGGGUUGUAAAGUACUUUCAGCAGUGAGGAAGGUGGAUAUGUUAAUAGCAUACUCAUUUGACGUUAGCUGCAGAAGAAGCACCGGCUAACUCCGUGCCAGCAGCCGCGGUAAUACGGAGGGUGCGAGCGUUAAUCGGAAUUACUGGGCGUAAAGCGCAUGCAGGUGGUUUGUUAAGUCAGAUGUGAAAGCCCGGGGCUCAACCUCGGAAUUGCAUUUGAAACUGGCAAACUAGAGUACUGUAGAGGGGGUAGAAUUUCAGGUGUAGCGGUGAAAUGCGUAGAGAUCUGAAGGAAUACCGGUGGCGAAGGCGGCCCCCUGGACAGAUACUGACACUCAGAUGCGAAAGCGUGGGGAGCAAACAGGAUUAGAUACCCUGGUAG
Molecule: ribosomal RNA, 470 nt
Filed under: uncultured bacterium
Lineage: Bacteria
Description: bacterial SSU rRNA
Rfam family: Bacterial small subunit ribosomal RNA
Source: RNAcentral